This 317-nucleotide ribosomal RNA is filed under the name Escherichia coli. RNAcentral describes it as "bacterial SSU rRNA". It matches the Rfam family "Bacterial small subunit ribosomal RNA", at positions 1050 to 1367 of the family's 1533-position model. RNAcentral also lists the same sequence under 1 other name. Lineage: Bacteria; Pseudomonadati; Pseudomonadota; Gammaproteobacteria; Enterobacterales; Enterobacteriaceae. The record is from RNAcentral.
UGUCGUCAGCUCGUGUUGUGAAAUGUUGGGUUAAGUCCCGCAACGAGCGCAACCCUUAUCCUUUGUUGCCAGCGGUCCGGCCGGGAACUCAAAGGAGACUGCCAGUGAUAAACUGGAGGAAGGUGGGGAUGACGUCAAGUCAUCAUGGCCCUUACGACCAGGGCUACACACGUGCUACAAUGGCGCAUACAAAGAGAAGCGACCUCGCGAGAGCAAGCGGACCUCAUAAAGUGCGUCGUAGUCCGGAUUGGAGUCUGCAACUCGACUCCAUGAAGUCGGAAUCGCUAGUAAUCGUGGAUCAGAAUGCCACGGUGAAU